AAUCCUCAAACCUGAAUCUUUCCCGGUUCAGGCUUUGGAUUUGGAGAGUGCCGGCCUUCGGCUCCUCUGAAAUGCAUUAGCAAGACCCUCUCUCGACGGCUUCGUGGCAUUGAUAAAGACUGUCCAUGCCCAUUUUGCCCGGCGGAAAGUGGCUGCUUCAAAAAACACUUACCCUUGAC
Molecule: unclassified non-coding RNA, 179 nt
Filed under: uncultured Hygrocybe
Lineage: Eukaryota; Fungi; Basidiomycota; Agaricomycetes; Agaricales; Hygrophoraceae
Description: sequence contains ITS2
Source: RNAcentral